GUUACUCUUCGUCGAAUUGUGACUAGUUGUUACCAUAUAGGCUUACUGCAAUUCAUAUAUUUCUCCGCUUGCACAGCUAAUCAUCUUUCAGCAAGAGAAGCAGUCUUCAAAUUAUACUUCUGGGACCUUUUCUGUCUCGACAGGGGCAGCACUUGGUAGUAAAACCAGAAUAAGGUGAACACAGGAUGUUCUGACAAGUUUGUGGAGUGUGUUAAACGCCUUGGGGGAGCUGAGAGUUAGUAGUAGUUUGCUUUUAACUUUGUCGAAUCUUGAGAAACCAUUCUGCAAGCUUUUUAGUUUAUUACUUUGAUCAAACAGAGGCAACUCCAAAGGCAAUUCUCAAACUGGUGGAUACAGAAGGAUUGACCGUCUUUCAUGUGAAAAGCCAUUUGCAGAAAUAUCGUACUGCAAAAAACUGACAGAUUCUACUGAAGGCAAAUCAGAGAAAGGAAUUAGUACAAGUGAUGUAACUCAACUGGAUGUCAAAACUGGGUUGCACCUCGCAGAGGCAUUGCAACUUCAGCUAGAUGUCCAGAGGCUUCUUCAUGAACAAUUAGAGAUUCAGCGAAAUUUACAGUUGCGAAUUGAAGAACAAGAAAGGCAGCUGAAGAUGAUGAUUGAUCAGCAACAAAAAACAAACGAAAGCCUCCUAAAAGGACAAGAUUUGGACAUCACACCCUUUGCUCACUUCCCAUCCAAGAUGUAGACACAUCAUUUUGUCGGGGAGUUUUAGUGAAUUUUCAAAUAAUUCGGAUUAUAUCUCAAUCGAUAAUUAUCCGAUUUUUAUUUUAAAGUUCUGUAAAUUUAUUGUAUUUGAACUUGCUUUAAUUUGGAGCUUACAAUUUGAUC
Theobroma cacao (cacao) is the source of this 849-nucleotide non-coding RNA. The record is from RefSeq and is a predicted model, not a curated record. Lineage: Eukaryota; Viridiplantae; Streptophyta; Magnoliopsida; Malvales; Malvaceae.